CUAGAGCAGGAACUUUAUCUGCCUUACUGUUGACGGAAUCCCAGGGUUCUAAAAUGGUGCCUGGCCCAUAAUUGGAGAUGUCUUAUGCUGUUGACACCUGUUGCAUAAAUGUCUUUUGAGAGUUUUCAUAUCUGGGGGAGGGGGUCCCACUAGGGUAUAAAUUUCCCAAAGCUAGAGUUGUGUUGUAGUGAACAACUCUGGGUACCUAGAAUUUUGUGGAAUGGUAAUGUAUGCUAAUUUCCCAGGGAAGGUGGAUAUGGGAAUCAUGCUUUGGACCCAAUUUCCCUGAGAGCUAUGAGUUCAUAGAUUUAAGGGUCAGUGGUGUGGUGGAGAUCUGAGAAAGGAGUCCUAGAAAUAAAUAAUACAUGCUAAUGUGGCCUUGGAAAGGGAACCUCCAAGAUGGGCUUUUUCUGGGUGAUCUCCAACAUAGUAGUCCAUUGCAUGGCCUUUUGCAAUCUUUGAAAAUCCAGGCUCUGGCAUUUUCUGUACCUGCAACAAGGAAUUUAGCUUUCCCCAGCCUCUGACUCCUGGCCUAUAGAAAAAAGAGAACAAGAUAAUUUGCUUCCCAGAAUUUAAUUGAGAUAGUUCACACAAAGCUCUCAGCACACAGUAAACACCCAACAAUGCUUGUCAUGCUGCCAUAAAUGAGAAUUAUUUCCAGAAUCUCAGUUCUUCUUUUUAUGAAUGGGGAUGACAAUUCCUGCCUAUAGACCUCAUGGGGUUGUUUUUGAAGCUCUAACAAGCUAAUAGGCCAGAAUGUGCUCUGAGGAGGAACAAAAGCAGGACAAAUACAGGAGGAUGUUAUGAUUUGGAUUUUUUUAAUAAGAUAUUUGGCUUCCUGCAGACUGAAUUAUGCAGGCUCAAAGGAACCUGGCUUUGCAACUGAGGAUCAGUUCUCCCCUGCCUGGAGCUUCAUUUGGAUUCAAGGGAUGGCCAUCUCCUCUUUGGACACACUGGGCAGCUGUUGAUAGGGACUACACAAUGCACAGCUACCUCCAGGCCAGACAGAACCCUGGCUCUGCAAACCCAGCCUGGGAGGUCAAGCCAAAGGAGCACAAGAAUGAAGACACAGCCUGAGAAAGAUCCCAAGAUGAUGCAGCCUCCAAGAAGAAUGUGAGAGUUGUUAAGUGUAAGCAGGCAUGCAGACACAAUGCCACGUGCAUGUCCCAGGUCAGCCCAUGUGACCUCAUGUUCCUGCCUCUGGAUGGAAACAGCAAAUGUAAGCAGGCGAGUUUGUCAGUGGCAAGAUCAUUGCUCCAAUGCAUUCUUAGUCUUGAUGCCAGAGCAUGUUAUGGACCCCAAGUUGGGGGUUCAAGCUGAGACUCCAGGACACUGGAGGUGUUUAUGAUUAAUUUCCUACCCUGAUUGCAGAGCAAGGCCAUCUGGACUUGGAUCUGUGUCUAAAUAACUGUACCCAAACUGGAAAAUUCAAAUGGUGCUAAAACUCAGAAUCCACUUCCCAGAGGUAGGAGUGGGUAAUGGACAGGUCAUUUCCAGGGCUGGAUAUCUUCCCCAGGGGGCCUAGUCCUGCUCAGAACUACAAUGAGGAAUAUUUAUUUCUCCCUCUUUUCCUUCCUACCUUCCAUCCUUUUACAUUUAAUAAAUACCUGAAAGAUACCUACUCUACAGUGUCCUAAACCUUUGAAAGUACACGUUUAUAGAAUACCAACUCUACCUUCAGGAUGUUUGCUACUCAGACAGAUGGGACAAUGUGUAAAAAUACUGAUUGCUGAGACUCCCUCUGUGAUGGUUCAUGGGUCAACUUGACUGGGCUACAGUUUGUGACCAAACAUUAUUCUGAAUGUUUCUGUGAGUGUCUUUCUGGAUGAGAUUAACAUGUCAUUUAGUGGACUUUGAGGAAAGCAAAUUGCCAGUCAUAAUGAGGGUGGGCCUCAUCCAGUCACUUAAUGCCUGAACAGAACAAGAAUGACCCUCCUUGGGCAAGAAGGAACACUGCCUUGGAUGGCCUUCUGACUUGAAUUGCAACAUUGGUUCCCAGAGAGGAGCUGUCAGUCCACCCUGCAAAUUAUGGGCAUUCUAGCCUGCAUAACGUACCAGCCAACUCAUUAUUUAAACCUCUUUCUCUACAUAUACACAUCCAAGUGAUUCUUUUUCUUUGGAGUACUCCAAGUCCUCCAAUGUCACACCCUUCAAGGGUCUCUGUGCCGGUAUCUCCUUCCCCAGCUUCCUAGUGGCUUCCAGGGUUCUCUUACUGAAGCACAGAUCUGCAGAUAUUGUUCUGCUUACAGUUCUUCCAUGCACCUACCUUCCCCACCACUGUCUCCCAAACCUCAGCUGUCCAUGCUCCAUCAUCUUCAUGAUUGUUCUCAGACUUUCUCAUUGAUGAAACCCAAAGGAGUGAAAUAGACUGAGAAAGAACUAAUUUUUUUUCACUUUAUUGUGUAACUAGAUACUAAAUUUGCAUCUUGGGUACCAUCUGGGAAUGUAUUCUUUCCCAUGUUUGGGAGACAUCUAGUUACAAAAAAAAAAAUUAAUUCUUCUUUGACAUGGCCUCAGAGGCCCUUGUGCAUUGAUUAAUUAUUUAUUAAAUGCUGAUAGGCACUGAACAAUUCAUCCCAGCCAUGUGGAAUUGUUUGUCCCUACCCCCUAAAUGACACCUAUAUCCUGUACCUUUAUUUUAUGGUUUAGAUAUGAGCUGUCCCCUAAAGACUCAUGUGUCAAAAACUUGAUCCCCAGUGCAACAAUGUUUAGAGGUGGGGCUUUGGGGAAGGACUGGAAUCAUGAGAGUUCUGACCUGAUAGUGGAUUAAUCCAUUUGUAGCUGAAUGGAUUACUGGGAGGUUGUGGAGGUAGGACCUAGUUGAAGGCGUGGGUCCUUGGGGCAUGCUCUUGGGGAUUGUGUCUUGUCCUUGGCUCCCUUUCCCUCUUUCUCUGCUCCCUUCUCUAAUGAGCUGAGCAGCUUUCCUUCACCACAUCCUUCUGACAUGAUAUUCUUCAGCCUCAUCUCAAGCCCAAAGCAAUGUAGCCAGCCAACCAUUGACUGAAACUUCUGAUACCAUAAGCCAAAAUAAAUCCUUCCUCCUCUAAAUUGUUUACUUCAGAUAUUUUGGUCAUAGUGAUAAAAAGCUGACUACUACACAGUUUCUGCCUUUCUUCUGUGAUUCCUGGAGGACUUGUUCUGACACCUUAAAAUACAGCUGCCUUCUUUGAGAAACUGUCCUCCAAGUACUCUCCAGCACUUCAUGCUCUCUCAGUAUUAGUAUUUAUCAUUGUUACACCAAAGGUAAGUGCUUUUUCUUUGUGGCUAGAGCUCAAGGGUUUGGGGACAUGUUUUGUUUAUUGUUGGGGGCUCUCAAAGGAGUCCCCCAGUAGUAACUACCUAUCUUAACUACCUGGAUUUUGCACACAAUGAGAAAUAAAAGAGGAACUAAGGAGCUCACUAUCACUUUUUUUUUAAUGGAUAAAAGCUAAAUUAGAGAACCUGGAUGUUGCACAAGGCCAUAUGGUCCUUCUGAAUUAAUCCAAAUUAGAUGGUCAUACAAAAACCACUCAAGACCAGUCACAGGGUAGAAGAGCUGAGAAGUGGCUCAGUUAAUUUGCUCCUUGAAGGCUGUUCUCUUUCAGGAGAAAUAAGGGCAAGCUGGGUUCUACAAGCCUGUUUUUUUCUUCCCACGCUACCAAUCAAUGGUUCUUAGAAUCCCUCUUAUCCACCCACAGAAUGAGGCAAGGGGAUUUCAGAUAAACUCUCAGAUGGCUUAAGCCAUAAAAAUUUAGAAAAUCAGAAAGAUGGGACCUCAGACAUUAGUUAUCAGGACUAACCCUCUCAUUUCACAUAUGGGGAAACCAAGACCCAGGGAGAAGGGACUUACUUAAGUCACUUAAUUCUCGCCUGAAUAAUCUGUAACUUCAACCUGUGGUUUGCAUGACAGAUACUAUUGAUAAUUUGUGACACAAUUCCCAAAGGCAAAAAAAAAAAAAAA
Molecule: long non-coding RNA, 3940 nt
Organism: Ictidomys tridecemlineatus (thirteen-lined ground squirrel)
Lineage: Eukaryota; Metazoa; Chordata; Mammalia; Rodentia; Sciuridae
Source: RefSeq, a predicted model, not a curated record